UACGUAGGGAGCAAGCGUUGUCCGGAAUCAUUGGGCGUAAAGCGCGCGUAGGUGGCUUCGUAAGUCCGUUGUGAAAGUCAAAGGCUCAACCUUUGAAAGCCGAUGGAUACUGCGGAGCUAGAGUACGGAAGAGGCGAGUGGAAUUCCUGGUGUAGCGGUGGAAUGCGCAGAUAUCAGGAGGAACACCAAUAGCGAAAGGCAGCUCGCUGGGACGUUACUGACACUGAGGCGCGAAAGCGUGGGGAGCGAACAGG
This 254-nucleotide ribosomal RNA is filed under the name uncultured bacterium. RNAcentral describes it as "partial 16S ribosomal RNA". It matches the Rfam family "Bacterial small subunit ribosomal RNA", at positions 524 to 776 of the family's 1533-position model. The record is from RNAcentral.